UUGAACGCUGGCGGCAUGCCUUACACAUGCAAGUCGAGCGGCAGCGCGGGGGCAACCCUGGCGGCGAGCGGCGAACGGGUGAGUAAUACAUCGGAACGUGUCCAGUAGUGGGGGAUAACCAGUCGAAAGACUGGCUAAUACCGCAUACGAUCCACGGAUGAAAGCGGGGGACCGCAAGGCCUCGCGCUGUUGGAGCGGCCGAUGUCGGAUUAGCUUGUUGGCGGGGUAAAAGCCCACCAAGGCGACGAUCCGUAGCUGGUCUGAGAGGACGACCAGCCACACUGGAACUGAGACACGGUCCAGACUCCUACGGGAGGCAGCAGUGGGGAAUUUUGGACAAUGGGCGCAAGCCUGAUCCAGCCAUGCCGCGUGAGUGAAGAAGGCCUUCGGGUUGUAAAGCUCUUUCGGCGGGGACGAAACGGUCCGUGCCAACACCACGGACUAAUGACGGUACUCGCAGAAGAAGCACCGGCUAACUACGU
This 482-nucleotide ribosomal RNA is filed under the name uncultured bacterium. Its description in RNAcentral is "bacterial SSU rRNA". It matches the Rfam family "Bacterial small subunit ribosomal RNA", at positions 29 to 506 of the family's 1533-position model. The record is from RNAcentral.